This 253-nucleotide ribosomal RNA is filed under the name uncultured bacterium. RNAcentral describes it as "partial 16S ribosomal RNA". It matches the Rfam family "Bacterial small subunit ribosomal RNA", at positions 524 to 776 of the family's 1533-position model. The record is from RNAcentral.
UACGAAGGGUGCAAGCGUUACUCGGAAUUACUGGGCGUAAAGGGCGUGUAGGCGGCCGCCUAAGUCAGACGUGAAAUCCCUCGGCUCAACCGGGGAACUGCGUCUGAUACUGGGUGGCUUGAAUCCGGGAGAGGGAUGCGGAAUUCCAGGUGUAGCGGUGAAAUGCGUAGAUAUCUGGAGGAACACCGGUGGCGAAGGCGGCAUCCUGGACCGGCAUUGACGCUGAGGCGCGAAAGCCAGGGGAGCAAACGGG